RNAcentral lists this long non-coding RNA (1146 nucleotides) under Elaeis guineensis (African oil palm). RNAcentral describes it as "long non-coding RNA (EGUI_LNC036470)". The record is from RNAcentral. Lineage: Eukaryota; Viridiplantae; Streptophyta; Magnoliopsida; Arecales; Arecaceae.
UAUGCUUUGGUGUCGGACUAUCCGAAUUUCUAAUUCAGUGACGAAAGAUUUUUGGAUACAAUCAAGUACUUGUGAUGUCUAAAUGCGAGUGAAGAUGGGAUUGAUCGCUUCAAGUAACAUUAAAGAUGAUGCAUCACUGUGUUUUAAUUUAGCAAAACUUUAACCAAAGUAGUUCUAUUGAGGAGUCACAGGAUUUUUAAGAUUGUGACACAAUAUGGACCAUGAAGGGAAGCGUGGUGGGUGAUGUGCAUGUAUUUUUAAAAAUUUACAGUGGAACAAAUAUAGAUUAAAUAAUUUCAUCUAUAAUGUAUAUAUAGAUCAAAUCUAAAAUCAUCAUACAGGAUCUAUAACAUGAACUAAUAUGCAUGUAUGUACAUCUAAAAUCUAAAAUUCAGCAAGUAUAGAUCAUAUCUAUUUUAUAUUUAGAUCAUAUCUAAAUAUUAAUUGAAUUCAAAACUUCAUACUCGAGUGUGGGUAGCAGAUCACCGCAUCCGAAAUUCAUAGUACUUGAUUCUUCAUGAUACUUGGUAGCCGCACAUGUGUCUGGUCUCUACGGAUAUCCACACGAAGCCCUUGUGCUGAUUGAUCUUCUCGGGAGUGCUAGCUCGCGAAGACAUCAUCCUUUGGCUGAUCUAAGAAGAAUAUGAUGAAGAUGAAGAAUAAGGAGAUCCUCUCCUUUUCUUCUUGGAUCCAUGCAUCUGAUCUCUACAAUAGAGAUCAAGAGAAGAAUCAUUUUUUCUCAAUUUUUUCGUGCAUAAGAGAGAAUCUUUCUCUCUUCCUUUUACGCCUUUAAAAAUUUUUUUUUUCUAAUUUUUUAUGAUAAAAAUUAGAUCUAAUCUGAUUUUUCAUGCUGAAAAUCAUAGGAGAUCUUGAGCCCUAGAAGAAUCCAAAGGAGAGACCCAAGAGAACAACCGUUCUUCUCUCUUCUUCUCCCUUUUUCUCUUUGAUCUAAAACUCCAGGAAGCCCCUUAUGCCCAACCAAAUUUUUUUGAUAUUUUUUCUCUAAAUUCUCAUAUUAAAAAUUAAAUCAAAUCUGAUUUUCAUCUUGAAAAAAAAUAGAAGAAAAAUCUGAAAAAAGAACUCAUUCUUCAAGGCUGCGCACAAGAAAGAAGACCCUUCUUCUUUUUUGAUUUAGAACUCUAGGGA